GAUGAACGCUGGCGGCGUGCUUAACACAUGCAAGUCGAACGAUGAAGCCCAGCUUGCUGGGUGGAUUAGUGGCGAACGGGUGAGUAACACGUGAGUAACCUGCCCUUAACUCUGGGAUAAGCCUGGGAAACUGGGUCUAAUACCGGAUAGGGGCGCCUACCGCAUGGUGGGUGUUGGAAAGAUUUAUCGGUUUUGGAUGGACUCGCGGCCUAUCAGCUUGUUGGUGAGGUAAUGGCUCACCAAGGCGACGACGGGUAGCCGGCCUGAGAGGGUGACCGGCCACACUGGGACUGAGACACGGCCCAGACUCCUACGGGAGGCAGCAGUGGGGAAUAUUGCACAAUGGGCGAAAGCCUGAUGCAGCGACGCCGCGUGAGGGAUGACGGCCUUCGGGUUGUAAACCUCUUUCAGUAGGGAAGAAGCGAAAGUGACGGUACCUGCAGAAGAAGCACCGGCUAACUACGUG
RNAcentral lists this ribosomal RNA (466 nucleotides) under uncultured bacterium. Its description in RNAcentral is "partial 16S ribosomal RNA". It matches the Rfam family "Bacterial small subunit ribosomal RNA", at positions 28 to 507 of the family's 1533-position model. The record is from RNAcentral.